This 486-nucleotide ribosomal RNA is filed under the name uncultured Diversispora. RNAcentral describes it as "SSU rRNA". It matches the Rfam family "Eukaryotic small subunit ribosomal RNA", at positions 569 to 1057 of the family's 1831-position model. The record is from RNAcentral. Lineage: Eukaryota; Fungi; Glomeromycota; Glomeromycetes; Diversisporales; Diversisporaceae.
AGCAGCCGCGGUAAUUCCAGCUCCAAUAGCGUAUAUUAAAGUUGUUGCAGUUAAAAAGCUCGUAGUUGAACUUCGGGAUUUGCCCAUUGGUCAGGCUUAACUGUCUGCACUGGUGUGACGAGUUCCUACCUUCUGAGGAAUCUCCAUGUCAUUCAGUUGGUGUGGGGGGAAAUCAGGACUGUUACUUUGAAAAAAUUAGAGUGUUUAAAGCAGGCAUCCGUCUGAAUACAUUAGCAUGGAAUAAUAAAAUAGGACGGUUUGGUUCUAUUUUGUUGGUUUCUAGGAUCACCGUAAUGAUUAAUAGGGAUAGUUGGGGGCAUUAGUAUUCAAUUGUCAGAGGUGAAAUUCUUGGAUUUAUUGAAGACUAACUACUGCGAAAGCAUUUGCCAAGGAUGUUUUCAUUAAUCAAGAACGAAAGUUAGGGGAUCGAAGACGAUCAGAUACCGUCGUAGUCUUAACCAUAAACUAUGCCGACUAGGGAUCGGA